UACGGGGGGGGCAAGCGUUGUUCGGAAUUACUGGGCGUAAAGGGCUCGUAGGCGGCCAACUAAGUCGGACGUGAAAUCCCUCGGCUUAACCGGGGAACUGCGUCCGAUACUGGAUGGCUUGAGUUCGGGAGAGGGAUGCGGAAUUCCAGGUGUAGCGGUGAAAUGCGUAGAUAUCUGGAGGAACACCGGUGGCGUAGGCGGCAUCCUGGACCGACACUGACGCUGAGGAGCGAAAGCAUGGGGAGCGAACAGG
RNAcentral lists this ribosomal RNA (253 nucleotides) under uncultured bacterium. Its description in RNAcentral is "partial 16S ribosomal RNA". It matches the Rfam family "Bacterial small subunit ribosomal RNA", at positions 524 to 776 of the family's 1533-position model. The record is from RNAcentral.